Molecule: non-coding RNA, 889 nt
Organism: Populus trichocarpa (black cottonwood)
Lineage: Eukaryota; Viridiplantae; Streptophyta; Magnoliopsida; Malpighiales; Salicaceae
Source: Rfam
AACAAUCAUGAAAUAUUUUUUUUAAUAGUGAUUCCAGUUAAAAAAAUGCUUUCACUAAAAUAUUCAAUAGAUAUGUGAAUAAGAGAAAUGAAUUUAAAUUUGAGAAAUAUAUAUUUAUGUUUAUUUUAAACAAACCUUUAUGUUAAUGAUAGCUUCUUUUUAUUAGAAAAGUAUGAUAUAAUAAAAACCAACGCCAUUGUUUAUUUUGACAUGGAACCCAUAAAGUGUGUUGGUCGACUAAGAUAGCAGGACAAUGGUCAUGAAAGUUGGAAUCCGCUAAACAGUCUGUAACAACUCACCUGCCAAAUCAACUAGCCCCGAAAAUAGAUGGUGCUAAAGACCGCGACCUAUACCCGACCAUCAAGGCAAGCACCAGGCCCCAAUGAGUAGGAGGGCGUGACGGUCGCUGCAAAACCCGGGGUGCGAGUCCGGACGAAGAGUCUGUCGGUGCAGAUCUUGGUAGUGGUAAUAAAUAUUCAAAUGAGAACUUUGAAUGCCAAAGAGGAAAAAUGGUUCAUGUGAACGACACUUCCACAUGAGUUAGUCAAUCCUAAGAGACAGGGGAAGCCCGUCCGACAACGCGUUUGUUUGCGAGUUUCAAAAGGGACUCAGGUUAAAAUUCCUGAGUGGGGACGUGGCGGCUGAUGAUAACGUUAAGGAGUUCGGAGACAUCAACGGGUGCCUUAGGAAGAUUUAUAUUUUCUAUUUAACAACUCGCUCAUCCUGGAAUUGACUUAAUCGAAGAUACGGUCCAACGGCUAGAAGAGCACCGCGCAUCGCGUGGUGUUCGGUGCGCCCCUAACAGGCCUAAAAAUCCAGAGGCUUGUUUAUGAUUGGUUUGUUUAAAAGUGGAUUUAGUAUAUAUAUAUAAAAAAAAAUGGUUCCUUGU